UUUUUUUUUUUUUUUUUUUUUUUUUUUCGACCACCUGUGACUGGCUGGGGGAUAAUAAUA
RNAcentral lists this non-coding RNA (60 nucleotides) under Prorocentrum micans. Lineage: Eukaryota; Dinophyceae; Prorocentrales; Prorocentraceae. The record is from RNAcentral.